Molecule: long non-coding RNA, 482 nt
Filed under: Homo sapiens (human)
Lineage: Eukaryota; Metazoa; Chordata; Mammalia; Primates; Hominidae
Description: HSALNT0372129
Source: RNAcentral
UUUUUUUUGAGACAGAGUUUCACUCUUGUUGCCCAGGCUGGAGUGCAAUGGCCUGGUCUCGGCUCACAGCAACCUCCGUCUCCCGGAUUCAAGCCAUUCUCCCGCCUCAGCCAUCGGAGUAGCUGGGACUACAGGCAUGCGACACCACGAAUGGCCAGUUUUGCAUUUUUAGUAGAGACGGGGUUUCUCCAUGUUGGUCAGGCUGGUCUCGAGCUCCGAACCUCAGGUGAGCCUCGGCCUCCCAAAGUGCUGGGAUUACAGGCGUGAGCCACUGAGCCCGGCCUUUCCUUUUUUAUUAUUUACUUUGUUCUGACAACUUCAGAUUUAAUUUACUCUUCUUGAUCUAACUUUUUAAGGCUGAAUGUUAAUUCAUGUUUUGAGACUUUAAUCUGUUAUUGUAAUUUCAUACUAGAAUUUCCCCCAGAGUACAGUCAGUUGUAUAGCACAUAUUUGUACAUGUUGCAUUUUAAUUUUCAUUAAAC